UGGGGAAUUUUGGACAAUGGGGGCAACCCUGAUCCAGCCAUGCCGCGUGCGGGAAGAAGGCCUUCGGGUUGUAAACCGCUUUUGUUCGGGAAGAAAUCCUCUGGGCUAAUACCCCGGGGGGAUGACGGUACCGGAAGAAUAAGCACCGGCUAACUACGUGCCAGCAGCCGCGGUAAUACGGAGGGUGCGAGCGUUAAUCGGAAUUACUGGGCGUAAAGCGUGCGCAGGCGGUUGUGCAAGACAGAUGUGAAAUCCCCGGGCUUAGCCUGGGAACUGCAUUUGUGACUGCAAGGCUAGAGUGCGGCAGAGGGGAGUGGAAUUCCGCGUGUAGCAGUGAAAUGCGUAGAUAUGCGGAGGAACACCGAUGGCGAAGGCAGCUCCCUGGGCCUGCACUGACGCUCAUGCACGAAAGCGUGGGGAGCAAACA
RNAcentral lists this ribosomal RNA (427 nucleotides) under uncultured bacterium. RNAcentral describes it as "partial 16S ribosomal RNA". It matches the Rfam family "Bacterial small subunit ribosomal RNA", at positions 355 to 774 of the family's 1533-position model. The record is from RNAcentral.